This 497-nucleotide ribosomal RNA is filed under the name uncultured bacterium. Its description in RNAcentral is "partial 16S ribosomal RNA". It matches the Rfam family "Bacterial small subunit ribosomal RNA", at positions 28 to 507 of the family's 1533-position model. The record is from RNAcentral.
GAUGAACGCUGGCGGCGUGCCUAAUACAUGCAAGUCGAGCGAACAGACGCGGCGCUUGCUCCUUUGACGUUAGCGGCGGAGGGGUGUGUAACACGUGGAUAAUCCACCUAUAAGACUGGGAUAAUUUCGGGAAACCGGCGCUAAUCCCGGAUAAUAUAUUGCACCGUAUGGUUCAAUAGUGAAUGACGGCUUUGCUGUCACUUCUCGAUGGAUCUGGGCCGCAUUAGCUAGUUGGUAAGGUAACGGCUUACCAAGGCAACGAUGCGUAGCCGACCUGAGAGGGGGAUCGGCCACACGGGAACGGAGACACGGACCAGGCUCCUACGGGAGGCAGCAGAAGGGAAUCGUCCGCAAUAGGCGAAAGCCUGACGGAGCAACGCCGCGUGAGAGAUGAAGGUCUUCGGAUCGUAAAACUCUGUUAUUAGGGAAGAACAAAUGUGGAAGGAACUGUGCACGUCGUGACGGUACCUAAUCAGAAAGCCACGGCUAACUACGUG